Molecule: ribosomal RNA, 444 nt
Filed under: uncultured bacterium
Lineage: Bacteria
Description: partial 16S ribosomal RNA
Rfam family: Bacterial small subunit ribosomal RNA
Source: RNAcentral
CCUACGGGUGGCAGCAGUGGGGAAUAUUGGGCAAUGGAGGAAACUCUGACCCAGCAAUGCCGCGUGAAUGAAGAAGGUCUUCGGAUUGUAAAGUUCUUUAGUCAGGGAAGAAUAAAAUGACGGUACCUGAAGAAUAAGCUCCGGCUAACUACGUGCCAGCAGCCGCGGUAAUACGUAGGGAGCAAGCGUUGUUCGGAAUGACUGGGCGUAAAGGGUGCGUAGGCGGUUCUACAAGUUAGAAGUGAAAUACUCAGGGCUUAACUCGGGUGCUGCUUCUAAAACUGUAAGACUUGAGUGCAGUAGAGGGUAGUGGAAGUCCAAGUGAAGAGGGGGAAUGCGUAGAUAUUAGGAGGAAAACCAGAGGAGAAGGAAGAUAAAUGGACUGCAACUGACGCUGAGGGACGAAAGUGUUGGGAGAAAACAGGAUGAGAUAAACGUGUAGUC